GUAUCCUGACCUCAGAUAGACCCAGAGAGAGGUUUCAUCAAAAGAGUAGGUGACAACUUGACUAAGUCUUGGGGACACAUAUGGAACAGAGGACAUGAUAUUCAAGCAAGAGGAGCCCCAUGGAGGAAAAGGUCAGCUGCAGAACCAAGGGCAUGCUGUUUCACAGGGAUCAGCCCUGCUCCCAGCUGCAGGUGACAGAAAAGUCAGCUCAAAGUGGCUACCAAAACAAGAAACCCCACUGACAUUCGGACUGGAAAUCAGAAGUGGGAGGCUUGGAUCCAGCAGUCCAUCAGGGACCCAGGCUCUUCAUGCCUCUCCUCUCUGCCCUGUGUUCUUCAUCCUAGACCUGGAUCCCCUAUGUUCUUGCGAAGGCCAUCAGGAGCCACCUGGUCAUCUGCCUCCUCUAAGAACAGAUUCACUUUGCUGUACACCUGAAACUAAUACAACACUGCAAGCCAACUAUGCUCCAAAAAAAAGAAAAAAAGGCUUUGACAGAACCUUCAGCCACCUUCUUCUUAAGUCUGACUGAUCCAAAAUGGGCCCACUAGUCCUAAACUGAUCACAGGCCAGACCAGUGGGAUUACUUCCAGCCCAAUCAGGUCUGCUCUUGGAGUCAAGGUCAAGGCCUCAAACCUCAUUGCUGCUUCUCCAUGAGGGGAGAGGCCUAUCUUCAAGUGAAGAUAGAUGUUGGAGUAAAGACUAGGCAAUGUCCACUUCUCUUUUAGGAUAACAACACAAGAUGAUGAGGCAAUUGCCAAGCUUAUUGGAAGAAAACAUGCAGAUAGUUAGACCUAAGAAUUCCUUGGUGACUCAGUGGGUUAAGAAUCCAGCAUUGUCACUGCUGUGUCUUGGGUCACUGCUGUGGUACAGGUUUGAUUCCUGGCCCCAGAACUUCUACAUGCUGUGAGUGUGGCCAAAAAAAAAAAAUAUAGUUACACCUAGAUUAACUUUAGGUUAAUAGUCAAUCAGCAAACAUUAUUGAACACUUACCAUAUGCUUAAAUGAAUACCAUACCACCAAUUUUUUUUUUUUUUGUCUUUUUGCCUUUUCUAAGGCCGCUUCCCGCAGCAUAUGGAGGUUCCCAGGCUAGGGGUCAAAUCGGAGCCGUAGCCACCGGCCUACACCAGAGCCAUAGCAAUGCGGGAUCCGAGCCACGUCUGCGACCUACACCACAGCUCACGGCAACGCCGGAUCCUUAACCCACUGAGCAAGGCCAGGGAUCAAACCCACAAACUCAUGGUUCCUAGUUGGAUUCGUUAACCACCGAGCUAUGACAGGAACUCCCCAAUUUCUUUUUUAAAUUGUGGUUAAAUAUACAUAACGCAAAACCUUCCAUUGUCACCAUUGUUAAGUGUAUAUUUCUGUGGCAUUAAGUACAACCAUAGUGUUGUACAACUGUUGCCACUAUCCAACUUCAGAACCUUUUCAUCUUCCCCCACCGAAGCUCUAUAACUAUUAAAAACUAAUUCUACUUACAUGAGUUACCUUGAGUAGUCAAAUUCAUCAGUUCCUUUUAAGGAGGUGCCACU
This 1529-nucleotide long non-coding RNA is filed under the name Sus scrofa (pig). Its description in RNAcentral is "lncRNA (ENSSSCG00015006794.1)". The record is from RNAcentral. Lineage: Eukaryota; Metazoa; Chordata; Mammalia; Artiodactyla; Suidae.